Odocoileus virginianus texanus is the source of this 860-nucleotide non-coding RNA. NCBI's taxonomy places the organism in Eukaryota, Metazoa, Chordata, Mammalia, Artiodactyla, Cervidae. The record is from RefSeq and is a predicted model, not a curated record.
ACCAGUUACUAAUGAUUUACCAACUGCCACUGGGAUGGGGCAUUCAUAGAGGAAAGCCUAUUUUUUUUCCUUUGGACAUCUGCACCUCAGAUCAUCAGGCAUUCGAUCUCAGACAUUGGGGACCUCUGGACUAGACUCUGGAAUCCCCACUGAGAGACGAAGAUGCAGACAUUGAGGCUGACAUACUGACGUUCAGCCUGGAGACCCUCCCUCUGCCGACCCCAGCUGCAGCUUUAUCUGUUCAGCUGUCCAUUAUGACGGUAAAAUUACAACCUAAUGGUGUCUGCGCUGCUGCUCCUGUGACCACCAUCUGCCUGUGUCACGUCGUGAAUUCUCUCCUCAGUUGUAUUUUUGUGAGCGUGACACUCUUAUGGAGGCUCUCAGAGGCCACCUGGAGCAGUGUUUUAUGAUCUGGACUUUCCCACCCAUGUAGCUGAGGAAGGAGCCGUGUGAAAUUUCCAAAGCAGCCACUUCCUUGACAUAAGAGAAAAGUGGUAUCAGACACUCACACCUUAUGGCACUGCACGGUGGUUAAAACAGGUGCAUAAAAGGUGCCGUUCCAGAAAACCAGUUUGACGUUAAUUUAGGCGCACAGGUGAUCCAUCCUGAACUGUCUACUUCCCAAAUCAUUGUUUAAAAUGACUACCUGGAGCUUGAGAGUAGAUGCGUGUUUCUUUCUACCACUCCAUUUGCUUUUCACUCCAGUGUAAAGCCACGGUGGUCGCUAUUCUGUAAUUAUACUCUUCUACCAAAUGGCUGGCGUGAUCAAACUCAGUAUCCACUUUUAUCUGAAUAAGUUGUGAAGUUUACUGGAAGAAGAUUUUGGAAAUUUUCUGUGAUGAUUUAAGGAACAGAAUAGA